RNAcentral lists this ribosomal RNA (1488 nucleotides) under uncultured bacterium. RNAcentral's name for it is "bacterial SSU rRNA". It matches the Rfam family "Bacterial small subunit ribosomal RNA". The record is from RNAcentral.
AUGGCUCACAUUGAACGCUGGCGGCAGGCCUAACACAUGCAAGUCGAACGGUAACAGGAAGCAGCUUGCUGCUUUGCUGACGAGUGGCGGACGGGUGAGUAAUGUCUGGGAAACUGCCUGAUGGAGGGGGAUAACUACUGGAAACGGUAGCUAAUACCGCAUAACGUCGCAAGACCAAAGAGGGGGACCUUAGGGCCUCUUGCCAUCGGAUGUGCCCAGAUGGGAUUAGCUAGUAGGUGGGGUAACGGCUCACCUAGGCGACGAUCCCUAGCUGGUCUGAGAGGAUGACCAGCCACACUGGAACUGAGACACGGUCCAGACUCCUACGGGAGGCAGCAGUGGGGAAUAUUGCACAAUGGGCGCAAGCCUGAUGCAGCCAUGCCGCGUGUAUGAAGAAGGCCUUCGGGUUGUAAAGUACUUUCAGCGGGGAGGAAGGGAGUAAAGUUAAUACCUUUGCUCAUUGACGUUACCCGCAGAAGAAGCACCGGCUAACUCCGUGCCAGCAGCCGCGGUAAUACGGAGGGUGCAAGCGUUAAUCGGAAUUACUGGGCGUAAAGCGCACGCAGGCGGUUUGUUAAGUCAGAUGUGAAAUCCCCGGGCUCAACCUGGGAACUGCAUCUGAUACUGGCAAGCUUGAGUCUCGUAGAGGGGGGUAGAAUUCCAGGUGUAGCGGUGAAAUGCGUAGAGAUCUGGAGGAAUACCGGUGGCGAAGGCGGCCCCCUGGACGAAGACUGACGCUCAGGUGCGAAAGCGUGGGGAGCAAACAGGAUUAGAUACCCUGGUAGUCCACGCCGUAAACGAUGUCGACUUGGAGGUUGUGCCCUUGAGGCGUGGCUUCCGGAGCUAACGCGUUAAGUCGACCGCCUGGGGAGUACGGCCGCAAGGUUAAAACUCAAAUGAAUUGACGGGGGCCCGCACAAGCGGUGGAGCAUGUGGUUUAAUUCGAUGCAACGCGAAGAACCUUACCUGGUCUUGACAUCCACGGAAGUUUUCAGAGAUGAGAAUGUGCCUUCGGGAACCGUGAGACAGGUGCUGCAUGGCUGUCGUCAGCUCGUGUUGUGAAAUGUUGGGUUAAGUCCCGCAACGAGCGCAACCCUUAUCCUUUGUUGCCAGCGGUCCGGCCGGGAACUCAAAGGAGACUGCCAGUGAUAAACUGGAGGAAGGUGGGGAUGACGUCAAGUCAUCAUGGCCCUUACGACCAGGGCUACACACGUGCUACAAUGGCGCAUACAAAGAGAAGCGACCUCGCGAGAGCAAGCGGACCUCAUAAAGUGCGUCGUAGUCCGGAUUGGAGUCUGCAACUCGACUCCAUGAAGUCGGAAUCGCUAGUAAUCGUGUAUCAGAAUGCCACGGUGAAUACGUUCCCGGGCCUUGUACACACCGCCCGUCACACCAUGGGAGUGGGUUGCAAAAGAAGUAGGUAGCUUAACCUUCGGGAGGGCGCUUACCACUUUGUGAUUCAUGACUGGGGUGAAGUCGUAACAAGGU